RNAcentral lists this transfer RNA (73 nucleotides) under Felis catus (domestic cat). It matches the Rfam family "tRNA". From Rfam's summary of the family: Transfer RNA (tRNA) molecules are approximately 80 nucleotides in length. Lineage: Eukaryota; Metazoa; Chordata; Mammalia; Carnivora; Felidae. The record is from Rfam by way of RNAcentral.
GCCUGGAUGGCUCAGUCAGUAGAGCACGUGACUCUUGAUGUCAUAGUUGUGGGUUCGAACCCCACGUUGGGUG